CUACAGAUAUCGCUCAUGGGAUCGAUUACAUUCAUCAUUGUGCAGAUUCAAAUUCAGGCUUUGUGCAUAACCAUAUAAAGAGUUCGAGCAUUUUAGUAGCUGAAGAUUUGUUGGAUGCCAAGAUUUGUCAUUUCGGGGCAGCGGAGCUAUGCGGGGAAAUAGAGGGAAGUGAAAGAUCUGAGGCAAGAAGUUUUGGCAGGAGUAAUAGUAAAGGCAAGAAAAUUGAAGGGACAAGAGGAUACAUGUCGCCGGAGUUUCAAGCAAGUGGGGUUGUGACGCAGAAAUGCGAUGUUUAUGCUUUUGGGAUGGUGGUUUUGGAGCUGGUGUCAGGAGAGGAGGCGUUGAAUUAUGUGUUUGAUGAAGGGAGAGGAGAGUUUAGCAGAGUUGGUGUGAUAGAGAGGGCAAGAGAGGCAGUGGGUAGCGGUGGCGGUGGGGGAGAGUAGUAGUGGUAGUU
RNAcentral lists this unclassified non-coding RNA (454 nucleotides) under Hevea brasiliensis (rubber tree). Lineage: Eukaryota; Viridiplantae; Streptophyta; Magnoliopsida; Malpighiales; Euphorbiaceae. The record is from RNAcentral.